Molecule: small RNA, 80 nt
Organism: Granulicatella elegans ATCC 700633
Lineage: Bacteria; Bacillati; Bacillota; Bacilli; Lactobacillales; Carnobacteriaceae
Rfam family: skipping-rope RNA
About the family: Firmicutes, Fusobacteria, AlphaProteobacteria, Spirochaetes. Downstream gene
Source: Rfam
AUUCUUUGAGGGCAGAAAGGGUUCCUGCCGCACCUUAUUGAGGUACCUGAGAUGCUGGAUACACCGACCAGCCAAGGAAU